GGGACACGUGGUAUCCUGUCUGAAUAUGGGGGGACCAUCCUCCAAGGCUAAAUACUCCUGACUGACCGAUAGUGAACCAGUACCGUGAGGGAAAGGCGAAAAGAACCCCGGCGAGGGGAGUGAAAAAGAACCUGAAACCGUGUACGUACAAGCAGUGGGAGCACGCUUCGGCGUGUGACUGCGUACCUUUUGUAUAAUGGGUCAGCGACUUAUAUUCUGUAGCAAGGUUAACCGAAUAGGGGAGCCGAAGGGAAACCGAGUCUUAACUGGGCGUUAAGUUGCAGGGUAUAGACCCGAAACCCGGUGAUCUAGCCAUGGGCAGGUUGAAGGUUGGGUAACACUAACUGGAGGACCGAACCGACUAAUGUUGAAAAAUUAGCGGAUGACUUGUGGCUGGGGGUGAAAGGCCAAUCAAACCGGGAGAUAGCUGGUUCUCCCCGAAAGCUAUUUAGGUAGCGCCUCGUGAAUUCAUCUCCGGGGGUAGAGCACUGUUUCGGCAAGGGGGUCAUCCCGACUUACCAACCCGAUGCAAACUGCGAAUACCGGAGAAUGUUAUCACGGGAGACACACGGCGGGUGCUAACGUCCGUCGUGAAGAGGGAAACAACCCAGACCGCCAGCUAAGGUCCCAAAGUCAUGGUUAAGUGGGAAACGAUGUGGGAAGGCCCAGACAGCCAGGAUGUUGGCUUAGAAGCAGCCAUCAUUUAAAGAAAGCGUAAUAGCUCACUGGUCGAGUCGGCCUGCGCGGAAGAUGUAACGGGGCUAAACCAUGCACCGAAGCUGCGGCAGCGACGCUGAUGCGUUGUUGGGUAGGGGAGCGUUCUGUAAGCCUGCGAAGGUGUGCUGUGAGGCAUGCUGGAGGUAUCAGAAGUGCGAAUGCUGACAUAAGUAACGAUAAAGCGGGUGAAAAGCCCGCUCGCCGGAAGACCAAGGGUUCCUGUCCAACGUUAAUCGGGGCAGGGUGAGUCGACCCCUAAGGCGAGGCCGAAAGGCGUAGUCGAUGGGAAACAGGUUAAUAUUCCUGUACUUGGUGUUACUGCGAAGGGGGGACGGAGAAGGCUAUGUUGGCCGGGCGACGGUUGUCCCGGUUUAAGCGUGUAGGCUGGUUUUCCAGGCAAAUCCGGAAAAUCAAGGCUGAGGCGUGAUGACGAGGCACUACGGUGCUGAAGCAACAAAUGCCCUGCUUCCAGGAAAAGCCUCUAAGCAUCAGGUAACAUCAAAUCGUACCCCAAACCGACACAGGUGGUCAGGUAGAGAAUACCAAGGCGCUUGAGAGAACUCGGGUGAAGGAACUAGGCAAAAUGGUGCCGUAACUUCGGGAGAAGGCACGCUGAUAUGUAGGUGAGGUCCCUCGCGGAUGGAGCUGAAAUCAGUCGAAGAUACCAGCUGGCUGCAACUGUUUAUUAAAAACACAGCACUGUGCAAACACGAAAGUGGACGUAUACGGUGUGACGCCUGCCCGGUGCCGGAAGGUUAAUUGAUGGGGUCAGCGCAAGCGAAGCUCUUGAUCGAAGCCCCGGUAAACGGCGGCCGUAACUAUAACGGUCCUAAGGUAGCGAAAUUCCUUGUCGGGUAAGUUCCGACCUGCACGAAUGGCGUAAUGAUGGCCAGGCUGUCUCCACCCGAGACUCAGUGAAAUUGAACUCGCUGUGAAGAUGCAGUGUACCCGCGGCAAGACGGAAAGACCCCGUGAACCUUUACUAUAGCUUGACACUGAACAUUGAGCCUUGAUGUGUAGGAUAGGUGGGAGGCUUUGAAGUGUGGACGCCAGUCUGCAUGGAGCCGACCUUGAAAUACCACCCUUUAAUGUUUGAUGUUCUAACGUUGACCCGUAAUCCGGGUUGCGGACAGUGUCUGGUGGGUAGUUUGACUGGGGCGGUCUCCUCCUAAAGAGUAACGGAGGAGCACGAAGGUUGGCUAAUCCUGGUCGGACAUCAGGAGGUUAGUGCAAUGGCAUAAGCCAGCUUGACUGCGAGCGUGACGGCGCGAGCAGGUGCGAAAGCAGGUCAUAGUGAUCCGGUGGUUCUGAAUGGAAGGGCCAUCGCUCAACGGAUAAAAGGUACUCCGGGGAUAACAGGCUGAUACCGCCCAAGAGUUCAUAUCGACGGCGGUGUUUGGCACCUCGAUGUCGGCUCAUCACAUCCUGGGGCUGAAGUAGGUCCCAAGGGUAUGGCUGUUCGCCAUUUAAAGUGGUACGCGAGCUGGGUUUAGAACGUCGUGAGACAGUUCGGUCCCUAUCUGCCGUGGGCGCUGGAGAACUGAGGGGGGCUGCUCCUAGUACGAGAGGACCGGAGUGGACGCAUCACUGGUGUUCGGGUUGUCAUGCCAAUGGCACUGCCCGGUAGCUAAAUGCGGAAGAGAUAAGUGCUGAAAGCAUCUAAGCACGAAACUUGCCCCGAGAUGAGUUCUCCCUGACCCUUUAAGGGUCCUGAAGGAACGUUGAAGACGACGACGUUGAUAGGCCGGGUGUGUAAGCGCAGCGAUGCGUUGAGCUAACCGGUACUAAUGAACCGUGAGG
RNAcentral lists this ribosomal RNA (2517 nucleotides) under Escherichia coli. Its description in RNAcentral is "partial 23S ribosomal RNA". It matches the Rfam family "Bacterial large subunit ribosomal RNA", at positions 419 to 2915 of the family's 2925-position model. Lineage: Bacteria; Pseudomonadati; Pseudomonadota; Gammaproteobacteria; Enterobacterales; Enterobacteriaceae. The record is from RNAcentral.